This 492-nucleotide ribosomal RNA is filed under the name uncultured bacterium. Its description in RNAcentral is "partial 16S ribosomal RNA". It matches the Rfam family "Bacterial small subunit ribosomal RNA", at positions 29 to 507 of the family's 1533-position model. The record is from RNAcentral.
AGUGAACGCUGGCGGUAGGCCUAACACAUGCAAGUCGAACGGCCGCACAGUAAGGGCUUGCUCUUACGGGUGGCGAGUGGCGGACGGGUGAGGAAUACAUCGGAUUCUACUUUUUCGUGGGGGAUAACGUAGGGAAACUUACGCUAAUACCGCAUACGUCCUACGGGUGAAAGCAGGGGAUCUUCGGACCUUUCGCGAUGGAAUGAGCCGAUGUCGGAUUAGCUAGUUGGCGGGGUAAAGGCCCACCAAGGCGACGAUCCGUAGCUGGUCUGAGAGGAUGAUCAGCCACACUGGAACUGAGACACGGUCCAGACUCCUACGGGAGGCAGCAGUGGGGAAUAUUGGACAAUGGGCGCAAGCCUGAUCCAGCCAUACCGCGUGGGUGAAGAAGGCCUUCGGGUUGUAAAGCCCUUUUGUUGGGAAAGAAAAGCAGCAGGUUAAUACCCCGCUGUUCUGACGGUACCCAAAGAAUAAGCACCGGCUAACUUCGUG